Non-coding RNA from Enterococcus dispar ATCC 51266, 365 nucleotides. It matches the Rfam family "Bacterial RNase P class B". From Rfam's summary of the family: Ribonuclease P (RNase P) is a ubiquitous endoribonuclease, found in archaea, bacteria and eukarya as well as chloroplasts and mitochondria. Its best characterised activity is the generation of mature 5'-ends of tRNAs by cleaving the 5'-leader elements of precursor-tRNAs. NCBI's taxonomy places the organism in Bacteria, Bacillati, Bacillota, Bacilli, Lactobacillales, Enterococcaceae. The record is from Rfam.
AUUUUCGGGUAAUCGCGGUCUAGCAAUAGGCUGAGGAAAGUCCAUGCUCGCACAAGCUGCGAUGCUUGUAGUGUUCGUGCCUGGCGAAACCAUAAGCCAGGGUACUAUUUUAGUAACGGCAGGAAAAAUUCCUAAGGCGUAAGCUAUGGAUCAGUAUCCUUGAAAGUGCCACAGUGACGAAGCGUUAAAGGAAACUUUAACGGUGGAACGCGGUAAACCCCUCGAGCGAGCAACCCAAACAAUGGUAGGGGCACUUCUUUGACGGAAUCAAACGAAUACAAGAAGGUAUCUUUAUGAUGCAGAUAGAUGAUUACCCCGUGGUUUUUGACCCUGAAAAAACUACGGACAGAACAUGGCUUAUAGAA